This 1443-nucleotide ribosomal RNA is filed under the name metagenome. RNAcentral describes it as "bacterial SSU rRNA". It matches the Rfam family "Bacterial small subunit ribosomal RNA". The record is from RNAcentral.
AGAGUUUGAUCCUGGCUCAGGAUGAACGCUGGCGGCGUGCUUAACACAUGCAAGUCGAACGAUCCUUCGGGAUAGUGGCGGACGGGUGAGUAACGCGUGGGAAUCUGCCCUCAGGAGGGGGAUAACGGCUGGAAACGGCCGCUAAUACCCCAUAUGCCGAGAGGUGAAAUGAAUUUCGCCUGAGGAUGAGCCCGCGUCUGAUUAGCUAGUUGGUGGGGUAAAGGCCUACCAAGGCAACGAUCAGUAGCUGGUCUGAGAGGAUGAUCAGCCACACUGGGACUGAGACACGGCCCAGACUCCUACGGGAGGCAGCAGUGGGGAAUUUUCCGCAAUGGGCGAAAGCCUGACGGAGCAACGCCGCGUGAGGGAUGAAGGCCUCUGGGCUGUAAACCUCUUUUCUCAAGGAAGAAGACCUGACGGUACUUGAGGAAUAAGCCACGGCUAAUUCCGUGCCAGCAGCCGCGGUAAUACGGGAGUGGCAAGCGUUAUCCGGAAUUAUUGGGCGUAAAGCGUCCGCAGGCGGCCUUGUAAGUCUGUUGUUAAAGCGUGGAGCUCAACUCCAUUUAAGCAAUGGAAACUACAAGGCUGGAGUGUGGUAGGGGCAGAGGGAAUUCCCGGUGUAGCGGUGAAAUGCGUAGAUAUCGGGAAGAACACCAGUGGCGAAGGCGCUCUGCUGGGCCAUAACUGACGCUCAUGGACGAAAGCCAGGGGAGCGAAAGGGAUUAGAUACCCCUGUAGUCCUGGCCGUAAACGAUGAACACUAGGUGUCGGGGGAAUCGACCCCCUCGGUGUCGUAGCCAACGCGUUAAGUGUUCCGCCUGGGGAGUACGCACGCAAGUGUGAAACUCAAAGGAAUUGACGGGGGCCCGCACAAGCGGUGGAGUAUGUGGUUUAAUUCGAUGCAACGCGAAGAACCUUACCAGGGUUUGACAUCCUGCGAACCCCUGAGAAAUCGGGGGGUGCCUUCGGGAGCGCAGAGACAGGUGGUGCAUGGCUGUCGUCAGCUCGUGUCGUGAGAUGUUGGGUUAAGUCCCGCAACGAGCGCAACCCACGUCUUUAGUUGCCAGCAUUCAGUUGGGCACUCUAGAGAGACCGCCGGUGAUAAACCGGAGGAAGGUGUGGAUGACGUCAAGUCAUCAUGCCCCUUACAUCCUGGGCUACACACGUACUACAAUGCUACGGACAAAGGGCAGCAAGCUCGCGAGAGUUAGCAAAUCCCAUAAACCGUGGCUCAGUUCAGAUCGUAGGCUGCAACUCGCCUACGUGAAGGAGGAAUCGCUAGUAAUCGCAGGUCAGCAUACUGCGGUGAAUACGUUCCCGGGCCUUGUACACACCGCCCGUCACACCAUGGAAGUUGGCCAUGCCCGUAGUCGUUACUCCAACCCUUGUGGAGGAGGACGCCGAAGGUGGGGCUGAUGACUGGGGUGAAGUCGGAACAAGGUA